ACUGCUCAGUAACACGUGGACAACCUGCCCUUAGGUUGGGUAUAAACCCGGGAAACUGGGUAUAAUACCCGAUAGGUCUCGAUUGCUGGAAUGCAUCGAGAUUUAAAGCUCCGGCGCCUAAGGAUGGGUCUGCGGCCUAUCAGGUAGUAGUGGGUGUAGCGUACCUACUAGCCUACGACGGGUACGGGUUGUGAGAGCAAGAGCCCGGAGAUGGAUUCUGAGACACGAAUCCAGGCCCUACGGGGUGCAGCAGGCGCGAAAACUUUACAAUGCGGGAAACCGUGAUAAGGGAACUCCGAGUGUCCGUCAAUGCGGACUGUCCGUAUGUUUAAAAAGCAUGCGAAGAAAGGGCCGGGCAAGACCGGUGCCAGCCGCCGCGGUAAUACCGGCGGCUCGAGUGGUGGCCACUAUUACUGGGCUUAAAGCGUUCGUAGCUGGGUUGUUAAGUCUCUUGGGAAAUCUAUCGGCUUAACCGAUAGGCGUCCAAGGGAUACUGGCAAUCUAGGGACCGGGAGAGGUGAGGGGUACUUCAGGGGUAGGAGUGAAAUCCUGUAAUCCUUGGGGGACCACCUGUGGCGUAGGCGCCUCACCAGAACGGCUCCGACAGUGAGGGACGAAAGCUGGGGGAGCAAACCGGAUUAGAUACCCGGGUAGUCCCAGCCGUAAACGAUGCGCGUUAGGUGUAUCGAUGACCACGAGUCAUCGAGGUGCCGAAGGGAAACCGUGAAACGCGCCGCCUGGGAAGUACGGUCGCAAGGCUGAAACUUAAAGGAAUUGGCGGGGGAGCAC
RNAcentral lists this ribosomal RNA (789 nucleotides) under uncultured archaeon. RNAcentral's name for it is "bacterial SSU rRNA". It matches the Rfam family "Archaeal small subunit ribosomal RNA", at positions 85 to 879 of the family's 1478-position model. The record is from RNAcentral.